This 77-nucleotide transfer RNA is filed under the name Candidatus Saccharimonadota bacterium. RNAcentral describes it as "tRNA-Pro". It matches the Rfam family "tRNA". From Rfam's summary of the family: Transfer RNA (tRNA) molecules are approximately 80 nucleotides in length. The record is from RNAcentral. Lineage: Bacteria; Candidatus Saccharimonadota.
CGGGAUGUGGCGCAGUCUGGUAGCGCGUACGGCUGGGGGCCGUGAGGUCGCAGGUUCAAGUCCUGUCAUCCCGACCA